UUUUGGCACAACACCGGGAGUGCAGUGUUCUCAACGGCUCUUGUGACAGUAACAGACGUCACCAAAAGCGUCGGAGCGCUUUUGAAAAUAUGUGGGGUCUUGAUAAACUGAACAGAUAUUUGAGGUUUACACAGCUACAUUCUCGCCUGAAAAUAUGUUAAACAUUUAUUUUGUGACCCAGAAAGAAUAAUAAGAGUAAUAUUAAAACUAACCAGCUGCCGCCAUUGUUGUAAUUGGCCUACUAAUGCGGGCACAGGAGGAUGCGGUUCUUGAAUUUGGACACAGCUUCUUCUUCUUCGGGGUUUAACGGCAGCUGGCAUCCUUGUACAUGCAGUGCUGCCAUCUUCUGUUUCAGUCCGUUAUUACACUCUUAAAACCUACUACUUAUUCCUGCGUCUUUUGGGAUCUUGCAACACUUCAAACCAUGCGCCGACUAUUAAAUUAGUCGUCGACGAUUUUGAUAGUCGACGUAAUCGUGACUAGUCGACUAAUCGUGGCAGCCCUAUACUUUACUAAGGUAGUCAAAUUCAAAGAAGCAUUUUUUUUUAAAUAGAUGUUGUAACCUGUCAGAACAUCAACAUGUUUCCUAAAUCUAGGAGGAGAGUGGUGGUGAUUUACAGCCUAUGUCUAUGCGCUGUUCUGGUGAUUGAAAUUUUGAGAAGGCAAACUAAUCUUUCUUUUUAUUUAAUUUUUUCCAAAACAAUUCAGGGUGAAACUAUUGCAUUUAACUGAAGUAAUGUUCAAUAAAAUGACAUCCCAGAUAAUUUAGAGGAUAGCUGUAGUGUCAGGUUCAAAAUCACAGUGAACUUAUAACCUGGAACUACGGAUGGAUUUAAAUGAAGGAUCCAAGCUGCCUUCACCAAAGAAGGGCCUGGUUCUCCUCACAACCAUAGAACAGAGUAUCCAGUGAAUAUUUCUGCUUUCACCUGUAUUCUUAAUAUUGUUUAUUUAUUUUUGACAAAGACAGAUGUUAUAGCUCUGAGUUCUUUUUCAUUGUCGGUUUAACACAUAUCCAGAAGACUGCGGCAUCAUCAGGAAACCCUGAAAAGAAGAGACCGUCAGGGACCCAGAUGGAGAAAACGACAGUGGAAGAAGGCAACAGCAGUGGGACUGCGGGACCGGUAAGAGGCAGGAAAAGGAAAUCAUCAGAGACAGUGAGCAAGGAAGCAGAAAACAGAAACGGGACUGCGGCAUCAUCAGGAAACCCUGAAAAGAAGAGACCGUCUGAGACCCAGAUGGAGAAAACGACAGUGGAAGAAGGCAACAGCAGGUUGUGCUGGUUACUCUUAACACUCUUAUCACAUUUAAGUGUAACUGCAUGAUUGGUUAAAGUGUCACCCCUUUUUGUGAGUAUGCAAAAUAAACUCUAGUGAAGUAAUAACUAGCUUUGGGUGACUGUUUAUACUAACUGCAAAUGUGUGAAUCCACACAAUGAACAGCCCCAUUUAUGUUGAAUUUGCUUCAUAAUAACAUGCCCUAGAUUUACAUAUCUACUUAGAUAAGAUAAAACUACACUUCAGGACAAUACAAAGGUAAACGUACAGUUUGAAAGCAGCACAGCUGCUGUAGACAAAUCAGCGAAGGUAUAAGAGGAAGGGACAGAGCUGACUGAUGGAGAGAAGGAAGGUAGUUAUGUUGUGUGUGUGUGUGUGUGCAGGAGAACAGGUUCUUUGCAGGUUGUUUCAAGCAGUGCUAUAUAGGUCUAGUUGGAUAGGAAGAGAAAUGGUGUGGGAGUAAUCUUGAAGUGUAUGUUAAUAGUGUGGUGGAGGUGAAGAGUGUGUCAGACGGGCUUGUGAAUUUGAAGCUAGACAAAGAUAUGAUGCUGAAGAUUGUCAAUAUGUAUGUACAGGUUGAAUUGCAGUUAGAAAAUGGUGAAAAAUUUCUGGAGUAAAUUUAACUGAGACCUUUUUUUUUAUGAAGUAGAAAGAUAAUAAGGGUAUACCACCAUCCAGAGGGCUCCAUGGGGUCAUUAUGGCUGAUUGAGUUCUGCAGGUCUCUGAAAUAUGGAUUUGAAUAGCUUAAUUCAACCAAUGGACUGUUAUACUUCCCAUGUCAGGUAGUACAAUCAGUGUAGAACUCAGAAAAUAACUUGUCAUUAAAAUCUUUAUUUCCUCUCAGUACCAAACCCAAAAGUUAACACAGGUGUCCACAUAAAGCUGAAAACUGUUGCAAAAGUUAUAUGGUGCAGCUUCAAGAAAUGUGAAUUUGUGAAAUAAUGUUAUUAAAAGCUUAAUAAUAAUAAUAAUUAUUAUUAUUAGAAUUAUUAUUUUGUGUGUGUGUGUGUGUGUGUGUGUGCGUGAGAUAAUAUCCUGCGCUUGACUGCUAUAUUUUCCUAUAGUCUAACGAACCCUCUUUCUAAUGAAAUGAUAAAAUCAUAGAAAAUGUAUCAUCUUUCAAACGAUGUUGCUACCUUGAAAUUGUACCAAAUAGUAGGAAUGACACCAGACAUAUGGGAAGUACAGCAGUGUAUGAAUUUCAGUACCCAAAUAUUAUUUUUGUUGUUGAUUGUGAAUACCAAUAUAUCAUUUACUUAAACACUGAAAUCCUAACUGUAAUUAAUUAAAUAUUGUCUUACACGAAUGACUACUGUCAUAUAGAUGAGAGAGAAAGAGACUGUUGAAUGAAAUAUGUCAACAGAGACAAAAGGAGUUGUUGUGGAUAGGCGUAGCUUUGGAUCACGUGGUGUCGGUAAUAGUAAUAGUGAUUGCUAUAUCACCUGUUCACGGCCCGAGGGAAUUUUUGUGAAUGAGUGGGUGAUGGGGGAAGUCGACUUUUGCUGACCGCUCAAGCUUAGAAUG
Haplochromis burtoni (Burton's mouthbrooder) is the source of this 2798-nucleotide long non-coding RNA. RefSeq lists it as uncharacterized. The transcript is spliced from 3 exons. NCBI's taxonomy places the organism in Eukaryota, Metazoa, Chordata, Actinopteri, Cichliformes, Cichlidae. The record is from RefSeq and is a predicted model, not a curated record.